RNAcentral lists this unclassified non-coding RNA (336 nucleotides) under soil metagenome. RNAcentral's name for it is "partial contains 5.8S ribosomal RNA, internal transcribed spacer 2, and large subunit ribosomal RNA". The stretch from base 1 to 120 matches the Rfam family "5.8S ribosomal RNA", at positions 35 to 154 of the family's 154-position model. The record is from RNAcentral.
GAUGAAGAACGUAGCGAAAUGUGAUAAGUAGUGUGAAUUGCAGAAUUCAGUGAAUCAUCGAAUCUUUGAACGCACAUUGCGCCCCUUGGUAUUCCAUGGGGCAUGCCUGUUCGAGCGUCAUUUGUACCUUCAAGCUUUGCUUGGUGUUGGGUGUUUGUCUCGCCUUUGCGUGUAGACUCGCCUUAAAAUAAUUGGCAGCCGGCGUAUUGAUUUCGGAGCGCAGUACAUCUCGCGCUUUGCACUCAUAACGACAGCGUCCAAAAGUACAUUUUACACUCUUGACCUCGGAUCAGGUAGGGAUACCCGCUGAACUUAAGCAUAUCAAUAAGCGGAGGA